RNAcentral lists this small nuclear RNA (164 nucleotides) under Castor canadensis (American beaver). Its description in RNAcentral is "U1 spliceosomal RNA (ENSCCNG00000023773.1)". It matches the Rfam family "U1 spliceosomal RNA". From Rfam's summary of the family: U1 is a small nuclear RNA (snRNA) component of the spliceosome (involved in pre-mRNA splicing). Its 5' end forms complementary base pairs with the 5' splice junction, thus defining the 5' donor site of an intron. Lineage: Eukaryota; Metazoa; Chordata; Mammalia; Rodentia; Castoridae. The record is from Rfam by way of RNAcentral.
AUACUUACCUGGCAGGGGAGAUAUCAUAAUCACGAAGGUGGUUUUCCCAGGGCGAGGCUUAUCCAUUGUACUCUGAAUGUGCUGACCCUUGCUAUUUCCCCAAAUGUGGGAAAGUUAACUGCAUAAUUUGUGGUAGUGGGGGACUGCGUUCACAUUCUCCCCUG